AGAAGUUGCCCAGGCUUGUCAACAUGCAUUUUAAAAUAGACAGUUGAGUCGGAUUUGCCGUUUAAAUAUCACUCUCGUCCUGUUACUGGCGUUGGGACAGUAAAAAGGUUGUUGGAUCAAAUCCCCAGAGUUGAAAGCCGAACCUGGACGACGCUGGGCCAGUUGUACGCCGUCCUAUGGGGCUCCCAAUCACGGCCAGAUGUGAUGCAGCUGGGAUUUGAACCAGAAGUGUUUUUUAUGGGGGAGAAGUUAUGGACAUAACAUCACAUUGUUAGUGAAAUUUGGACAGUUUGAUGGGUCAUUUUGCUUGAGAAUUAG
Molecule: long non-coding RNA, 318 nt
Organism: Oncorhynchus keta (chum salmon)
Lineage: Eukaryota; Metazoa; Chordata; Actinopteri; Salmoniformes; Salmonidae
Exons: 3
Source: RefSeq, a predicted model, not a curated record